RNAcentral lists this precursor RNA (160 nucleotides) under Arabidopsis thaliana (thale cress). Its description in RNAcentral is "precursor microRNA 408 stem-loop". The stretch from base 10 to 135 matches the Rfam family "MIR408 microRNA precursor family". The record is from RNAcentral. Lineage: Eukaryota; Viridiplantae; Streptophyta; Magnoliopsida; Brassicales; Brassicaceae.
AAGAAGACAAAGCGGUAAUGAGAGAGAGACAGGGAACAAGCAGAGCAUGGAUUGAGUUUACUAAAACAUUAAACGACUCUGUUUUGUCUCUACCCAUGCACUGCCUCUUCCCUGGCUCCCUCUUUUUUUCUCUAUAUUUCUCUCUCUCCUUUCAUUUCAC